This 645-nucleotide ribosomal RNA is filed under the name Triticum aestivum (bread wheat). RNAcentral describes it as "partial small subunit ribosomal RNA". The record is from RNAcentral. Lineage: Eukaryota; Viridiplantae; Streptophyta; Magnoliopsida; Poales; Poaceae.
AUGAGAUGUGCGCUGGCGCUGGCGCUGCUCGACCUCCUCCCCUACCCCUGGUCGGCUCCUACCCGCUCCAGCACAUCUGGACCGGCGGACAAGGAGGCGCGACAGCAGCGCCGCCAGGAGGUCGGCGGCGAGGGUGUAGCCGGCGAAAAGAGGUACCAGAUCACGAGCACCAACAAGCACCUCAUCAUAGGGCGUGGGAUGGUCGACGGCGACGCCUCGCGGUGGGCCACCUUCGGCGAGCGCAAUGGCGGACUAGUGAGGGAGGCGCAAGAGCUCGUCGUGCUCUGCGAGGCGGAAGUCGACAUCCUCGUCUUUGACAGCGCCGGCAGGCAGUUGGACUACUGCAGCCCCCACACAAGCUACAUGGAAUUAGAUACUGCAAAGAGGAUUUCCGUUGAGGGCCUGGAAAGGUUCAGGGAAGUGAAAUAUUAUCUCAUUCUCAUUAUUGUCGACACGAGUGGGCACCAUAACCAGAAGGCUGCACUUUUUGAGGAAAUGCGUCAAGUUGCAGAAGCUCGUAGUCUUGCAUUGUUAUUGUUAUCCUCUUUUAUUGAGAUUUUCGCCGACCUUAUGGUUUUUCCACAGAAACGAGACCUGAUGAUAUUUGUGAUGGAUGGCAGCAUUGUUCAUGCUGCUUUUGAUUAG